CGCUGCCAACCUAUCUACCACGGCGAAUCUAUCUAUCACUGCCAAUUUAUCUACCACUGCCAAUCUAUCUAUCGCUGCCAAUCUAUCACUGCUAAUCUAUUGCUGCUAAUCUAUUGCUGCUGCCAAUCUAUCUAUCACUGCUAAUCUAUUGCUGCUAAUCUAUCACUGCUAAUCUAUCACUGCUAAUCUAUCGCUGCCAACCUAUCUACCGCGGCGAAUCUAUCUAUCGCUGCCAAUUUAUCUACCACUGCCAAUCUAUUGCUGCUGCCAAUCUAUCUAUCACUGCUAAUCUAUUGCUGCUAAUCUAUCACUGCUAAUCUAUCGCUGCUAAUCUAUCGCUGCUAAUCUAUCGCUGCUAAUCUAUCGCUGCUAAUCUAUCGCUGCUAAUCUAUCGCUGCUAAUCUAUCGCUGCCAACCUAUCUACCGCGGCGAAUCUAUCUAUUGCUGCCAACCAACCUACCACUGCCAACCUAUCUAUCGCUGCCAAUCUAUCGCUGCCAACCUAUCUACUGCAGUGAAUCUAUCUAUCACUAUCAUUACUAGUUCAAAAUAGAACUAGAGCAUAAAUACACUAAACUUCUUUUGAUAGAUAAUGAUUUUUGGUAACACUCAUAGCAUUAUAUCAUCUAUAUAGGGUAAAUCAUGGUCCCAUUUGGUCCCAUUUUAACAAAAUGGGAUCAAAUGGGAUCAGAAUCAGUAAUUUAUAAGAAGAACAUGAUCUGAGACU
This 727-nucleotide small RNA is filed under the name Histoplasma ohiense. RNAcentral describes it as "hypothetical lncRNA". Lineage: Eukaryota; Fungi; Ascomycota; Eurotiomycetes; Onygenales; Ajellomycetaceae. The record is from RNAcentral.